Molecule: ribosomal RNA, 2921 nt
Filed under: Bacillus cereus BAG3X2-2
Lineage: Bacteria; Bacillati; Bacillota; Bacilli; Caryophanales; Bacillaceae
Description: bacterial LSU rRNA
Rfam family: Bacterial large subunit ribosomal RNA
Source: RNAcentral
UUAAGUUAGAAAGGGCGCACGGUGGAUGCCUUGACACUAGGAGUCGAUGAAGGACGGGACUAACGCCGAUAUGCUUCGGGGAGCUGUAAGUAAGCUUUGAUCCGAAGAUUUCCGAAUGGGGAAACCCACCAUACGUAAUGGUAUGGUAUCCUUAUCUGAAUACAUAGGGUAAGGAAGACAGACCCAGGGAACUGAAACAUCUAAGUACCUGGAGGAAGAGAAAGCAAAUGCGAUUUCCUGAGUAGCGGCGAGCGAAACGGAACAUAGCCCAAACCAAGAGGCUUGCCUCUUGGGGUUGUAGGACAUUCUAUACGGAGUUACAAAGGAACGAGGUAGACGAAGCGACCUGGAAAGGUCCGUCGUAGAGGGUAACAACCCCGUAGUCGAAACUUCGUUCUCUCUUGAAUGUAUCCUGAGUACGGCGGAACACGUGAAAUUCCGUCGGAAUCUGGGAGGACCAUCUCCCAAGGCUAAAUACUCCCUAGUGAUCGAUAGUGAACCAGUACCGUGAGGGAAAGGUGAAAAGCACCCCGGAAGGGGAGUGAAAGAGAUCCUGAAACCGUGUGCCUACAAAUAGUCAGAGCCCGUUAACGGGUGAUGGCGUGCCUUUUGUAGAAUGAACCGGCGAGUUACGAUCCCGUGCGAGGUUAAGCUGAAGAGGCGGAGCCGCAGCGAAAGCGAGUCUGAAUAGGGCGUUUAGUACGUGGUCGUAGACCCGAAACCAGGUGAUCUACCCAUGUCCAGGGUGAAGUUCAGGUAACACUGAAUGGAGGCCCGAACCCACGCACGUUGAAAAGUGCGGGGAUGAGGUGUGGGUAGCGGAGAAAUUCCAAUCGAACCUGGAGAUAGCUGGUUCUCCCCGAAAUAGCUUUAGGGCUAGCCUUAAGUGUAAGAGUCUUGGAGGUAGAGCACUGAUUGGACUAGGGGUCCUCAUCGGAUUACCGAAUUCAGUCAAACUCCGAAUGCCAAUGACUUAUCCUUAGGAGUCAGACUGCGAGUGAUAAGAUCCGUAGUCAAAAGGGAAACAGCCCAGACCGCCAGCUAAGGUCCCAAAGUGUGUAUUAAGUGGAAAAGGAUGUGGAGUUGCUUAGACAACUAGGAUGUUGGCUUAGAAGCAGCCACCAUUUAAAGAGUGCGUAAUAGCUCACUAGUCGAGUGACUCUGCGCCGAAAAUGUACCGGGGCUAAAUACACCACCGAAGCUGCGGAUUGAUACCGAAUGGUAUCAGUGGUAGGGGAGCGUUCUAAGGACAGUGAAGUCAGACCGUAAGGACUGGUGGAGUGCUUAGAAGUGAGAAUGCCGGUAUGAGUAGCGAAAGACGGGUGAGAAUCCCGUCCACCGAAUGCCUAAGGUUUCCUGAGGAAGGCUCGUCCGCUCAGGGUUAGUCAGGACCUAAGCCGAGGCCGACAGGCGUAGGCGAUGGACAACAGGUUGAUAUUCCUGUACCACCUCUUUAUCGUUUGAGCAAUGGAGGGACGCAGAAGGAUAGAAGAAGCGUGCGAUUGGUUGUGCACGUCCAAGCAGUUAGGCUGAUAAGUAGGCAAAUCCGCUUAUCGUGUAUGCUGAGCUGUGAUGGGGAAGCUCCUUAUGGAGCGAAGUCUUUGAUUCCCCGCUGCCAAGAAAAGCUUCUAGCGAGAUAAAAGGUGCCUGUACCGCAAACCGACACAGGUAGGCGAGGAGAGAAUCCUAAGGUGUGCGAGAGAACUCUGGUUAAGGAACUCGGCAAAAUGACCCCGUAACUUCGGGAGAAGGGGUGCUUUCUUAACGGAAAGCCGCAGUGAAUAGGCCCAAGCGACUGUUUAGCAAAAACACAGCUCUCUGCGAAGCCGUAAGGCGAAGUAUAGGGGGUGACACCUGCCCGGUGCUGGAAGGUUAAGGAGAGGGGUUAGCGUAAGCGAAGCUCUGAACUGAAGCCCCAGUAAACGGCGGCCGUAACUAUAACGGUCCUAAGGUAGCGAAAUUCCUUGUCGGGUAAGUUCCGACCCGCACGAAAGGUGUAACGAUUUGGGCACUGUCUCAACCAGAGACUCGGUGAAAUUAUAGUACCUGUGAAGAUGCAGGUUACCCGCGACAGGACGGAAAGACCCCGUGGAGCUUUACUGUAGCCUGAUAUUGAAUUUUGGUACAGUUUGUACAGGAUAGGCGGGAGCCAUUGAAACCGGAGCGCUAGCUUCGGUGGAGGCGCUGGUGGGAUACCGCCCUGACUGUAUUGAAAUUCUAACCUACGGGUCUUAUCGACCCGGGAGACAGUGUCAGGUGGGCAGUUUGACUGGGGCGGUCGCCUCCUAAAGUGUAACGGAGGCGCCCAAAGGUUCCCUCAGAAUGGUUGGAAAUCAUUCGUAGAGUGCAAAGGCAUAAGGGAGCUUGACUGCGAGACCUACAAGUCGAGCAGGGACGAAAGUCGGGCUUAGUGAUCCGGUGGUUCCGCAUGGAAGGGCCAUCGCUCAACGGAUAAAAGCUACCCCGGGGAUAACAGGCUUAUCUCCCCCAAGAGUCCACAUCGACGGGGAGGUUUGGCACCUCGAUGUCGGCUCAUCGCAUCCUGGGGCUGUAGUCGGUCCCAAGGGUUGGGCUGUUCGCCCAUUAAAGCGGUACGCGAGCUGGGUUCAGAACGUCGUGAGACAGUUCGGUCCCUAUCCGUCGUGGGCGUAGGAAAUUUGAGAGGAGCUGUCCUUAGUACGAGAGGACCGGGAUGGACGCACCGCUGGUGUACCAGUUGUUCUGCCAAGGGCAUAGCUGGGUAGCUAUGUGCGGAAGGGAUAAGUGCUGAAAGCAUCUAAGCAUGAAGCCCCCCUCAAGAUGAGAUUUCCCAUAGCGUAAGCUAGUAAGAUCCCUGAAAGAUGAUCAGGUUGAUAGGUUCGAGGUGGAAGCAUGGUGACAUGUGGAGCUGACGAAUACUAAUAGAUCGAGGACUUAACCAU